This 4323-nucleotide long non-coding RNA is filed under the name Sus scrofa (pig). RNAcentral describes it as "lncRNA (ENSSSCG00000059339.1)". Lineage: Eukaryota; Metazoa; Chordata; Mammalia; Artiodactyla; Suidae. The record is from RNAcentral.
UGGGUCUCUUGAAGACAAUAUAUAUAUGGGUGUUGUUUUUGUGUCCAUUCAGCCAGUCUAUGUCUUUUGGUUGGGGCAUUUAGUCCAUUAACAUUUAAGGCAAUUAUUGAUAUGUAUGUUCUUAUUGCCAUUUUAUUAAUUGCUUUGGAUUUGUUUUUGUUGCUCUUUUUUCUUCCCUUCUCUUGUUCUCUCCUCUUGUGGUUUGAUGACUAUCUUUAGUGUUGUAUUUGAAUUGAUUUUUCUUAUUUGUUUGUGUAUAAAUUGUAGAUUUUUGGUUUGCAGUUAUUCUGAAGUUUUGAUAUGAGUCUAUAUAUAUACAAGAUUGUAUUAAGUUGUUGGUCUCUUAACUGCAAGUACAUCUCCAGCAUCCUGCAUUUGUUCCCUCUUUUUCUCACAAUUUCUGAUUUGGUGGUAUAAUUGUGCGUGUAUGAUUUUGUAUCUUUACGGUAUAUGCCUUCACUGGUGAGCCUUGUCAUUUGUGGAAUUUUUGUUUCUGGUUUUGGCCUUUUCUUUUCUGCCUAGAGAAGUUUCUUUAGAUUUGUUGUAAAGCUGGUUUAGUGUUGCUGAAUUCAUUUAGCUUUUGCUUACCUGUGAAGCUUUUGAUUUCUCCUUCAAAUCCAAAUGAGAGCCUUGCUGGGUAGAGUAAUCUUGGUUGGAGGUUUUUUCCCUUUCAUCAGGUUAAGUAUAUCAUGCCACUCCCUUCUGGCCUGCAGAGUUUCUGCUGAAAAAUCUGCCAAUAACCUUAUCGGGGUUCCCUUGUAUGUUAUUUGUUUCUUUUCCCUUGUUGUUUUCAAUAUUUUCUCUUUGUCUUUAAUUUUGGUCAGUUUCAUUAAUAUGUGUCGUGGGGUAUUCCUCCUUGGGUUUAUUUUAUAUGGUACUUGUUGCACUUCCUGGAUUUGAGUGAGUGGUUCCUUUCCCAUGGUAGGGAAGUUUUCAGCUAUUAUCUCUUGGAAUAUUUUUUCUGUCCCGUUCUCUCUCUCUCUUCUCCUUCUGGCACCUCUAUAAUAUGGAUGUUGGUGCGUUUCACAUUGUCCCAGAGUUCUCUGAGACUCUCUUCAUUUGUUUUUGAUCUUUUUUCUGUUCUGCAUCUGUGAUUUCCACUAAUCUGUCCUCCACCUCGCUUAUUCAUUCUUCUGCCUCCUGUAUUCUGCUGUUGGCUGUUUUCUAAUGAAUUUUUAUCUCAGUUAUUGUAUUUUGCAUCUCUUCUUGCUUAAGUUUUAUAUUUUGUAUCUCUUUGCUCAGUGUUUCCUGUAAAUUAUCCAUCUUUGCCUCCAGUUUAUUUCCAAUGUCUUGCAUCAUCUUCAGCAUCAACAGUCUGAAGUCUUUUUUCUGAAGGCUGAGAAUCUCCUGAUCACUUAGCUGUUUUUCUAGGGUUUUUUCUUUCUCCCUUAUCUGAUUUAUAGUUCUCUGUCUUUUCAUUUGUAUAGGUUUUUGGUGUGGUGACCUUUUUACAGAUAAUAGAGUUGUAGCCUCUCUUACUUCUGGUGUCUGCCCCCUUUGUGGCUGAUGUUUGUAUGGGGGCUUCCUGUAGGCUUCCUGAUGGGAGGGACUGAUACCUGUCCACUGGUAGGUGAAGCUGAUUCCUAUCCCUCUGGUGGGUGGGGCUUUGUCUCUGGAUGAGAUUAGAGGCAAGUGUGUGCCUGGUGGGGGGGUUCUUUAGGCAGUGUGUUUACUGAUGGGUUGGGCUGUGAGCCCAUCUGGAUAGUUGUUUGACCUGGGUCUUCUCAGUGCUGAUGGGUGGGGCCAUAUUUUCUCAAAAUGGCCACCUCUAGAGAAAGGCACACUGAUGAAUAUUCCCAAGAGCUUUGCUUCCAAUGUCCUCCCCUACAACAAGCCACAUUCACCCCUGUUUUGCCAGGAGGUCCUCCAAGAACUGCAGUCAGGUCUGACCCAGGUUCCUAUGGAGACUUUGCUUUGACCUGGGAUCCAGUGCACGUGAAAGUCUGUGUGUGCCUUUUAAGAAUGGGGCCUCCACUUUCUCAGUCUUGUGGAGCUCCUGCACACAAGCCCCACCAGCCUUCAAUGCCAGAUGCUCCAGGGGCUCUUUCUCCCAGUCCCAGAUCCCCAAGCAUGGUGGUUUGAUGUGGGGCUCAGAACUUUCACUCCUGUAGGUGAGUCUCUGUGAUACAGUUACUUUCUAGUCUGUGAGGCUUCCCACCUGGGAGAUGGGGUUGCUUAUAUUGGGUAAUUACCCCUCCUAACUCUUGAUGCGGCCUCCUCUUUGUCUUCUGAAAUAGGAUAUCUUUUUGAAAGUUUCUGGUUCAUUUGGUUGAAGAUUGCUCAGCAUUUGGUUGUAAAUUUUGUUGUUUUUAGGAGAGUAGUUGAGCUCCAGUCCUUCCAUUCUGCCAGCUUAAUCCCAUCCUCCACAAACAUAGGCGUGGGAGCCCCACAAAGCUAGGAUGCUCAAAAGGUGCCCUUGAGCUUGAGGCUUUUACACCAUCUGAAAGUUAUUUUCUUUAAAGGAAAAAAAAAAGCAGCUUUAAAUACUGCAUUUAUUUUUAUUUUAUCACUAGGCUAUUCACUAAUAUAAGUAGUCCUGAUAACCCAGGGUCUCUUAAAUAUAAGGGGCUAAAAUAAUAUCUACAAUAAUGAAGCCAUGCUCAGAAGCUUUUAUAAAUUUCUAAAUUGGAAAGUGUCAUUUGUGGAUUAAUUCUCUUAUCUAAUUAAUGUUUCAUGCAUCUCUGAGUGACCUUUCACCUUCUCUUAUUAGAUUUCAAGUGUGAUGUAUAUAUGAAAUAAAAAAGAAUAUGCUUCAUUAUGAGCAUUUUGCUGGUAAGAAUAUAAAAAAUCCUUAUACUUUAUUUUCCAAAGAAUAUAUCAGUGAAAGAGAAACAUUCACAUUAAAAAUAUGCAGUUUUAUAGCAUAACUUAUCCUUUAAUGUCCAAGUUUUGAGUUUUGCUAGAUAAAUUUAAACACAUGAGUAUAUUUUAUAUAUUAAAAAUGAAAAUUUUUAGAUGGCUGUAAUCAUAUAGAGAAUCACAAAACAAUUAAACUACUAAGAAUAUUAUAAGUUAUAUAAUAUUUUAUUAAAAGUAUUUUAGCCAUCCUUAUUUAUUUCUUAAACCAUGUACUAGUACAUAUUCCUAGCUAUUAUUUCAAUUUAUUUCUGCCAUUCCUCAAUUAUUUUAAAAGUGUAGCCAGAGAAAAACUGUAAAUACCACAUCCUAAAAUCAUGGCAAUUCUAAAUUAAGUAGUAAUCAGAAUUCACCUGUAGAACUCUGUUUAACUUAUGUUCACCACUCAUAUAAUUGUUUUCAAUGAAAAUUAAUUCUAGAAGGAGAAUCAAGAGAAUGAGGUUGAAAAUAUAUAUGUAUGAAAAAAUUUUUGUACAUGACCAUCAAACUGAUAUUAAUUUAAUGACCAUUUCCAUUUGGAGCAGAGCAUAAAUUUAUUUUGUAUUGUAGCUACAACUGGCAGCAUCUAUGUGAUGCAAGUUUGUGCCUAACUCUCGAACAUUUCCCAGACCUGCUUACUGAUUGUGCUUUUGUUUUAAGGGAAGAUCAUGUCAUCCAACUAAUAAUUAUAACAAUGAAAUGAGAAUAUCCCACAACUUAAAUUUACUUGUUACACACUAUCAGUAAGAGAUCCACCAUCAGAAAAAGUAGCAGAAAGCAAGAACAAUGGGGAAAUUUUGAGACUAUCUAUAACAAAACUAUAAGGGAUAAGAAACAGAAAAGAGUUAACAGGAUCAAAGAAGUCACCUAAUCUGGGAGGAGACACUGGCCCAGGAUUCCCUUCUGUUUUACAUUAUAGCUCUGACUACUUCAGAAGAUCUUGUGUUUAAGUAGACAAACCAGUCUAAUAAAGAAUCACCACAUAUUCUGUUGAAUUUAUAAUGUUCAAUGCAAUGCCAUAUCUCAGGGAAAGAAACUCCCAUGUAAGCAUCUUUACCCUUUGUAAAAAUCAUCUACAGCAGUGCUUCUUACACUCUAAUGUGAAUAUUAAUCACCUAGGGGAUCUUAUUAAAUACAGAUUCUGACUCAAAAAUCUGGGGUGGGGUCGGAAAUUCCACAUUUCUAACAUCCUGUUUUAAUGACAAUGCUGUAUAUUAUGAGUUACAUGAUUCCUUAAUACCUUACGGGUUCAGCUCCCUCCUAACAUAAAAAUAAAUAUUUUACUAUAAAUCAGAAGAUAGAUAGAAGUACUUUAAAAUUUGUACUUUCAAUGUUUCAUUCAAAAUAAUUUUUUUCCUCUCUUUGACGCAUAACUUAUUAUGUCUGUAUAAUCACAGAGGUGUGGUCAUUUCUGACUCCCAUAAAACAGUAUCAAAAAAUCUUAUAUGGGAAAAUUAAAAGAGAAUUAUUAAAGAGAUAAAUCCUGGG